RNAcentral lists this ribosomal RNA (314 nucleotides) under uncultured bacterium. Its description in RNAcentral is "partial 16S ribosomal RNA". It matches the Rfam family "Bacterial small subunit ribosomal RNA", at positions 495 to 807 of the family's 1533-position model. The record is from RNAcentral.
GUAUAAGAGACAGCAGCAGCCGCGGUAAUACAGAGGGUGCGAGCGUUAAUCGGAUUUACUGGGCGUAAAGCGUGCGUAGGCGGCUUUUUAAGUCGGAUGUGAAAUCCCUGAGCUUAACUUAGGAAUUGCAUUCGAUACUGGGAAGCUAGAGUAUGGGAGAGGAUGGUAGAAUUCCAGGUGUAGCGGUGAAAUGCGUAGAGAUCUGGAGGAAUACCGAUGGCGAAGGCAGCCAUCUGGCCUAAUACUGACGCUGAGGUACGAAAGCAUGGGGAGCAAACAGGAUUAGAGACCCCAGUAGUCCCUGUCUCUUAUAC